Molecule: RNase P RNA, 276 nt
Filed under: Candidatus Pacearchaeota archaeon
Lineage: Archaea; Nanobdellati
Description: RNase P RNA component
Rfam family: Archaeal RNase P
About the family: Ribonuclease P (RNase P) is a ubiquitous endoribonuclease, found in archaea, bacteria and eukarya as well as chloroplasts and mitochondria. Its best characterised activity is the generation of mature 5'-ends of tRNAs by cleaving the 5'-leader elements of precursor-tRNAs.
Source: RNAcentral
GUGAGUCAGAUAGCUGACUUCGGAAGUUUGUUGUUAAAUCAACAAGAAUUGUUAAUGAAUUCUAACUUCUGAGGAAGGUCCGGACACCAAAAUAAGACGAUUUCCUGAAAAGGAAAUAGCAGCGAUGUUAAGCUCUGGAACAGAAACGAUACCGCUUCGUGCGGAUGAAACGGCCAUCUUCGUCGGUGCAACCGCUCUAACCGCGGGCUAAGACAGAUGUCAGCAUAGAGAUUCCAUUCAUGGUCUCUAACAGAAUCCGGCCUAUUUCUGACUCAC